This is a non-coding RNA of Cyprinodon variegatus (sheepshead minnow), 505 nucleotides long. The record is from the annotation of a RefSeq genome assembly. NCBI's taxonomy places the organism in Eukaryota, Metazoa, Chordata, Actinopteri, Cyprinodontiformes, Cyprinodontidae.
AGGAAGAGGAGCUGAGAGCUUCAGGGAGGAGCUGAGCUGUUACUGAACUAUAGAAGAGACACAAACUUCCACAUUCAACACAGUUCAAACAUUAACUCUGAUCAUCAUGCUGUCUUUGCUCACAUCUGGAUUUACUCUGCUGGUUCUGCUUAUAGGAACAGGUGUAAACUGUCAAGAACUCACUGCAGCAAAGACUGAAGCGUUCAGUCUGGAAGGCAGCUCUGUUACUCUGUCCUACAGUUACUCCAAGAAAGCAGAUGGGAAUGAUUAUUUCUUCUGGUAUCGACAAUAUCCUGGACAACCUCCAGAGUUCCUGAUCUCUCACUUAGGAACAGGGGAUGAAAUCUCUCAGAAGGUUCCUGGUUUUUCCUUCAAAGUGAGUGAUGAUAAAACCCAGAUGGACCUGCUGAUCUCCUCUGCUGCAGUGACAGACUCUGCUGUUUACUACUGUGCUGUGCGGCCCACAGUGACAGGAAACACCAGAACUCUGUACAAGAACCUGUGA